UCCAUUAUUUUAUAUAGCGUAUGUUUUAGUUUUUACAGUAUCAUUUUUUUAUUAUAAACUAAAACUAUUUUAUAUCUCACUGUUCUAUGAUUUGAUGGUGAAUUUGACAUGUUUGGCAGAAGGAGCUUUGGUUCUAUAUGUGACGCCCCCAAAAUAGGUAUACAUCACUCAUCUUAAGUCGCCAAAUACAUGGUACAGAAUACAGAUACAACUUAAUUAUACAACAGUCGUGUAAAAUACGACAAAACAUAGCUGAGAGUUUAAACAAGAAUAUUGUCAUCUAGACAAUAUCCACACUCAAUGGAGUCCUCAUUAUAAUUAUUAUCACAUUCUUCCGUAUAAUAGUGAGGACUACUAAAGCCAUUAAUCC
Molecule: long non-coding RNA, 370 nt
Filed under: Panax ginseng (ginseng)
Lineage: Eukaryota; Viridiplantae; Streptophyta; Magnoliopsida; Apiales; Araliaceae
Description: long non-coding RNA (PGIN_LNC015961)
Source: RNAcentral